GACGAACGCUGGCGGCGUGCUUAACACAUGCAAGUCGAACGGAAAGGCCCUGCUUUUGUGGGGUGCUCGAGUGGCGAACGGGUGAGUAACACGUGAGUAACCUGCCCUUGACUUUGGGAUAACUUCAGGAAACUGGGGCUAAUACCGGAUAGGAGCUCCUGCUGCAUGGUGGGGGUUGGAAAGUUUCGGCGGUUGGGGAUGGACUCGCGGGUUAUCAGCUUGUUGGUGGGGUCGUGGCUUACCAAGGCUUUGAUGGGUAGCCGGCAUGAGAGGGUGACCGGCCACAUUGGGACUAGGAAGCGACCCAGUCUCUUGCGGGAGGCAGCAGUGGGGAAAAUUGCACAAUGGCCGGAAGCCUGAUGCGGCAACGCCGCGUUCGGGAUGUCGGCCUUCGGGUUGUAAACCGCUUUCGCCUGUGACGAAGCGUGAGUGACGGUAAUGGGUAAAGAAGCACCGGCUAACUACGUG
This 468-nucleotide ribosomal RNA is filed under the name uncultured bacterium. Its description in RNAcentral is "partial 16S ribosomal RNA". It matches the Rfam family "Bacterial small subunit ribosomal RNA", at positions 28 to 507 of the family's 1533-position model. The record is from RNAcentral.